Molecule: long non-coding RNA, 1527 nt
Organism: Ornithodoros turicata
Lineage: Eukaryota; Metazoa; Arthropoda; Arachnida; Ixodida; Argasidae
Exons: 2
Source: RefSeq, a predicted model, not a curated record
UUUUACGAUGCGAUCAAAAUGUGUAACGUUUGCUAGACUAACCCUGUACAUAACUUCCAAGACACACGAGUGCAAUUCUGAAGCUGAUUUUCAGGCAUGGAGAGAAGAAAUGCAGGAUGCAGCCAAGAGUCAUUUUACUAAAGGCACGAAGUAAAAAGAUUGAAAGAUGGAGGUUUAAAGUGUUGUUAUAUUUGUAACUGAUCGGGUGCUUUUACACAGAAGAACGUCAAAGGAAAAAGGUCCAUAAAAUCAUAAGGUUCCGUCAGGUAUGGGGCAACCUGCAUUGAUGAUUCGUCUGCAUUGUUCCAGACUGGCAAGGUCUCGUUUGUCUUCCAAGCUUCCUAUUAUGCACAUGAUUUUGGGGCUGUCCUACACCCCACUUACAAAAACAGAGGACGAUGUAAUAGAGGCAGCCCGUGCAGGGGGGGUAUAUGUUUAUUCACACAAAAGGAGAUGUCAGCCAAGCAAGUGCCAGCUUGCUACUCCUUAAAAAAAGAAAAAAAAAACAGGUACGGGAGAAGCCGCGAUGGCAACAAUGUGCUGCGGGCGUACAGGCACUUAUAAAACACUAUGUUGUACUGGAAUGUCCUUUUUUACCUUCCAGAAACUAUUAGUUUAUGUUAGGGAAACUACGUGACGGCAUUGCACUCAGCGUACUAUGCAGCUCAGUAUUUGGGGUGUGCUGGAUGGCACGUUUCAAAGGAUCCAAUUCACCUCUAUACAAGGCAGUACCUGUACAUCACCAUGAGGGACUAAAAUAUAUGUUACAGUGAGAGGAAACACGACGACAACCAAACCAGUGUUGCCUUGUUGGUCAGUUCUAUCAGAGCCCAAACAAACAGUCCAGUGCUUUCCCUCACACACAAAGGCAAGAAGGAUGAUCCUACUGUCUUUCAACGAGGAAAUACUGACUUGUUGCAAGAUGAGGAUUUCUUGCUAGUUCUCAUGACAGGCAUGCAAAAACAGCUGUUAAGGCAUUUGGGCACCAACAAAAGUGUGAUGAACACAGGAGGAGCAGGGAAGCUAGCUGGUGUUGACUUGAUGUUAAUGCCGAAGUGUAUACUUUCUUUUUACCCGUCUCUCCUUCACUUCGUGUAUUAAAGCUUCUUUGCUGGUUCGUGUGUUUGUGUUCGUCCUGUGCUUUCCCUCAAACUCAAGGCAAUGUUAACAUCAAAAGAAAAGUGUGCAUAGAUUCUACACAUAGCACCACAGAUGGGUCAUUCUAUGUGAUAGUUGUGUACUGCCACUUCAUACAUUUUGGGUAAUGGUUCAGGUGAAACACUUUAUAGCCAUGCAUGCUCUCCUGCAUUGACUUUUCAACUGAAGACAAUAUGCCCCAUUUUUAGCUUGGUGUGGGGUAUAUUACAGCAGGUUAAAUACAUUUAAGUGUGGUGAUAUACAUACACAUAACACACAUAAUUGGCAAUUUGUAUAUCCUAUAAAGUGCUCUGACAUGAGAAAUCUUGUAGAAAAAAUUGUGUUAAUAUUCUGCCAAUAAGAAGUGGAAUAAACUUUCCACUCACUGCA